GACGAACGCUGGCGGCGUGCUUAACACAUGCAAGUCGAACGAUGAAGCCGGAGCUUGCUCCUGUGGAUUAGUGGCGAACGGGUGAGUAACACGUGAGCAAUCUGCCCUUGACUCUGGGAUAACUGCGGGAAACAGUAGCUAAUACCGGAUACGACACCUUGGGGCAUCCCAGGGUGUGGAAAGAAUUUCGGGCAAGGAUGAGCUCGCGGCCUAUCAGCUAGUUGGUGAGGUAAUGGCUCACCAAGGCGACGACGGGUAGCCGGCCUGAGAGGGUGACCGGCCACACUGGAACUGAGACACGGUCCAGACUCCUACGGGAGGCAGCAGUGGGGAAUAUUGCACAAUGGGCGAAAGCCUGAUGCAGCAACGCCGCGUGAGGGAUGAAGGCCUUCGGGUUGUAAACCUCUUUUAGCAGGGAAGAAGCGAAAGUGACGGUACCUGCAGAAAAAGCACCGGCUAACUACGUGCCAGCCGCCGCCGUAA
This 483-nucleotide ribosomal RNA is filed under the name uncultured bacterium. RNAcentral describes it as "partial 16S ribosomal RNA". It matches the Rfam family "Bacterial small subunit ribosomal RNA", at positions 28 to 523 of the family's 1533-position model. The record is from RNAcentral.